This is a non-coding RNA of Mycena leptocephala, 104 nucleotides long. The record is from the annotation of a GenBank genome assembly. NCBI's taxonomy places the organism in Eukaryota, Fungi, Basidiomycota, Agaricomycetes, Agaricales, Mycenaceae.
GAUCUGGUGGCACAGUCGGUUAGAACUUAGUGCGUCUGCUGAUAGUAUGUGAGCGAAUCUGUGAAGUAGAAAUCAAGGCCUCGGUUCGAUUCCGGGUCAGAUCA